This 495-nucleotide ribosomal RNA is filed under the name Triodontella sp. DA1641. RNAcentral's name for it is "partial 16S large subunit ribosomal RNA". The stretch from base 369 to 495 matches the Rfam family "Bacterial large subunit ribosomal RNA", at positions 2473 to 2600 of the family's 2925-position model. Lineage: Eukaryota; Metazoa; Arthropoda; Insecta; Coleoptera; Scarabaeidae. The record is from RNAcentral.
UUUAAGGUUUAAUCUGCCCAAUGAGGUAUUAAAUGGCCGCGGUAUUUUGACCGUGCAAAGGUAGCAUAAUAAUUAGUUUUNUAAUUGGAAGCUGGAAUGAAUGAUUGGACGAGAAAAUAUCUGUCUCAGAAUAAUUUAUUUUGAAUUUUAUUUUUAAGUAAAAAAGCUUAAAUUUUUUUAAAAGACGAGAAGACCCUAUAGAGUUUAAUAAAAUAUUUUAUUUUAUUUAAUAGGAAUUUUAUAUUAAAAUAUUUUUUUUUUAUUUUGUUGGGGUGAUAGAAAAAUUUAAUUAACUUUUUUUUAAAAAAAACAUUAAUUUAUGAUUUUAUGAUCCAUAAUUUUUGAUUAUAAGAUUAAAUUACCUUAGGGAUAACAGCGUAAUUUUUUUUUAGAGUUCUUAUCGAAAAAAGAGUUUGCGACCUCGAUGUUGGAUUAAAAUAAAUAUUUGGUGUAGAAGCUUGAUAAUUAGGUCUGUUCGACCUUUAAAAUUUUACA